CCUACGGGUGGCAGCAGUGGGGAAUAUUGGGCAAUGGGCGCAAGCCUGACCCAGCAACGCCGCGUGAAGGAAGAAGGCUUUCGGGUUGUAAACUUCUUUUGACAGGGAAGAGUAGAAGACGGUACCUGUCGAAUACGCCACGGCUAACUACGUGCCAGCAGCCGCGGUAAUACGUAGGUGGCAAGCGUUGUCCGGCUUUACUGGGGGUAAGGGCGUGGAGCCGGGUUGACAAGUCAGAUGUGAAACCCUGCGGCUUAACCGCAGAACUGCAUUUGAAACUGUUUAUCUUGAGUACUGGACAGGCCGACGGAAUUCCUAGGGUAGCGGUGAAAUGCGUAGAUAGUAGGAGGAACAACAGUGGCGAAGGCGGUCUGCUGGACAGCAACUGACGGUGAGGCGCGAAAGCGUGGGGAGCAAACAGGAUUAGAUACCCUUGUAGUC
This 441-nucleotide ribosomal RNA is filed under the name uncultured bacterium. RNAcentral describes it as "partial 16S ribosomal RNA". It matches the Rfam family "Bacterial small subunit ribosomal RNA", at positions 338 to 795 of the family's 1533-position model. The record is from RNAcentral.